UGAGACCUCUAGGUAGAAUGGCUGGAU
This 27-nucleotide non-coding RNA is filed under the name Homo sapiens (human). Lineage: Eukaryota; Metazoa; Chordata; Mammalia; Primates; Hominidae. The record is from RNAcentral.